This 492-nucleotide ribosomal RNA is filed under the name uncultured bacterium. RNAcentral describes it as "partial 16S ribosomal RNA". It matches the Rfam family "Bacterial small subunit ribosomal RNA", at positions 29 to 507 of the family's 1533-position model. The record is from RNAcentral.
AGUGAACGCUGGCGGUAGGCCUAACGCAUGCAAGUCGAACGGCAGCACAGUAAGAGCUUGCUCUUACGGGUGGCGAGUGGCGGACGGGUGAGGAAUACAUCGGAAUCUACUUUUUCGUGGGGGAUAACGUAGGGAAACUUACGCUAAUACCGCAUACGACCUACGGGUGAAAGCAGGGGAUCUUCGGACCUUGCGCGAUUGAAUGAGCCGAUGUCGGAUUAGCUAGUUGGCGGGGUAAAGGCCCACCAAGGCGACGAUCCGUAUCUGGUCUGAGAGGAUGAUCAGCCACACUGGAACUGAGACACGGUCCAGACUCCUACGGGAGGCAGCAGUGGGGAAUAUUGGACAAUGGGCGCAAGCCUGAUCCAGCCAUACCGCGUGGGUGAAGAAGGCCUUCGGGUUGUAAAGCCCUUUUGUUGGGAAAGAAAAGCAGCAGGUUAAUACCCCGCUGUUCUGACGGUACCCAAAGAAUAAGCACCGGCUAACUUCGUG